AACGAACGCUGGCGGCAUGCCUAACACAUGCAGGUCGAACGAUUGCCUUCGGGUGAUAGUGGCGCACGGGUGCGUAACGCGUGGGAAUCUGCCCUUAGGUUCGGAAUAACAGCUGGAAACGGCUGCUAAUACCGGAUGAUAUCGCGAGAUCAAAGAUUUAUCGCCUGAGGAUGAGCCCGCGUUGGAUUAGGUAGUUGGUGGGGUAAAGGCCUACCAAGCCGACGAUCCAUAGCUGGUCUGAGAGGAUGAUCAGCCACACUGGGACUGAGACACGGUCCAGACUCCUACGGGAGGCAGCAGUGGGGAAUAUUGGACAAUGGGCGCAAGCCUGAUCCAGCAAUGCCGCGUGAGUGAUGAAGGCCCUAGGGUUGUAAAGCUCUUUUACCCGGGAAGAUAAUGACUGUACCGGGAGAAUAAGCCCCGGCUAACUCCGUG
RNAcentral lists this ribosomal RNA (435 nucleotides) under uncultured bacterium. RNAcentral's name for it is "partial 16S ribosomal RNA". It matches the Rfam family "Bacterial small subunit ribosomal RNA", at positions 29 to 507 of the family's 1533-position model. The record is from RNAcentral.